Esox lucius (northern pike) is the source of this 2997-nucleotide long non-coding RNA. Lineage: Eukaryota; Metazoa; Chordata; Actinopteri; Esociformes; Esocidae. The record is from Ensembl.
GGGUUUAAUUGGGACUUCCUAAUAACCUAAUUGCAGAAAACACAGACAUGGUUGAUAAAAUCUCUACGUUUUUUUUUACCAAGUUUUUGAUACAGCCUCAAAUUGUUUGAUUAAAAAAUAUAUAAAAACAUAGUGUAUUGCAAUUUGUUAAAUCUUAGUGUAGAAAAUUGAUUCUUCAUAAUGUACCUUUUUUCCAAUCACCUUUUUAAAGUGAUUUUAAUUUUUUCUUGGCAUAUUAUCAGAAUUGAAAUGUAUCUCCUGGUGUAUGGCCAGAAUGACCCAUUUUAUGUUAUCACACGUUUUGAUUUAUUUUAUUGUUCAUGUUUUUCGCUAACAAGUUUUGACCCUUUGCAAUAACCUAAGGUGCUGUCCAGUGGUCACUGCAGGUGAGUAAUGACUUAGACCCUUCAGUAGUUAUGACAUACUCACCUGGUUUGUUUUCGCUAGUUACCAAGUGUUACUUUUUGAGUGUUCAUUAAUAAUGCAACCUGGUCUCUUUCUGUCUGUGUUCAGAUUAUUUUUCCUUCUUCACACGUUUGAAAUGCUGAUCAAUAAACCCUAAUAGUAUUGGAAUGAACAAGUCAUCUAUACAUAUAGCUAGCGGACAUAAUGAUAAUGACUCGAUAGUGUUGCCAUACAUUAUAAUAUAUAGAUUUCUUUUUAUUUGUGAGUUUUAAUGUUGUUUUUUUUAUGUCUCCACUUUCACCUGCAUUGGCAUGUUGGGGUCCAGCAUCAGUAAGAAGUCCAUAAUGAAGUUAGCUAGAAGACUCAUAUUUUCCCAUAAUUCACAGCACAAUGUCCACUCCAAAAACAGCUUCAUGAUGAGUCCUUUAACUAACUCCAUGGUGUCCAUCUAUUUGAUCUGUCUGUCAGCCAUGUAAGACCCUGACUCCUCUCUCACUAGUUGGUCAAUAAUCUCUCCUUUGACUAAAACUGUUCCUGGUAUUCAUUCAUUCAACUAGAUGAGACAUUUGAUCUGGAUAUUUGAACCAUUAAAAAGGUUAACAUGUUGUAAAUUUGACUUUCAUGUCAGUGUUUCCUUUACACUCAUACAUCAAAUGUAGAUGUACUUUACUGAUUCAAUUAAAAUAACGUGCACCCAGUCACCUGGUCAAUAGUUCAUCUAGUCACUCCAGCUGUAUUAGAUGUAUCAGAAGGACACUGCAUUGGAAGGCCUACACUGGGAACUGCCGAGGGGAAGUUGCUGGGUAGAAGAAGGACAGUUACUGAUGACUGCCUACUUACUGAGGGUUUGAUCCUUGUUUGAAUGAGAUUUAGCAUCUUUAAGUAGAUACUACAACCAUGUCCUUCCAGUUCUAUAUACAGUAUGUAUAUUGUAUUAUUUUUAAAUGUUGUAAUCUUUCAACACGCUCACUUCAUUAGUCUAGCAAAUAAUCAAGUUUUGUCUUAAAGUAUUUCUAAUAUGACACACUUCAUGUAAAAUCUGCAUUUUACAUCACUCUUCAGAGAAUAUGAAGGGGAGUAUAGAGCCUGACUGUGAAAGCCUGAGAUUACAGUCCAACGGUUGCAUAUCAUCAAAAAACCCCAAAAUACCCUGGUUUUACGUAAACACUGUAAAGCCUGUUUUUCACAUCCCUGAAUUCAUAGCUCUGAUAUCAAACUAGUUUUGAGAGUGGUUACAACAGCUUUGUUGACACUCAAACUGCAGAUUGGCCAGAAAAGUAACCAAAGAUGCCGAAAAUGUGACAUGGUCGUUAAGUUAUCCAGAACUUUUUCAGAUGCCUUGUUGAAAGAAUAUCUUUUACAUAUCGGUUUCCUUUCAGUUUUUCAGUUACGUAUUUUCAAUACGUUUGAUAUGUCAGUAGGUGUGUCAACAGAUUUAGAAUCAACAAAAACACGUUGUUUACAUGAUCGCUGUCCCGGGGGCGUCACCAGACCAGGACAUGUUUUGCCCAGAGUGUUUUACGGGGUACUUUUUGUUGAGUUAAAAGCGUUUCACACAGCAGAGAUCGUGUCAAUUGUGGGCAUUACUAAAACAGAAGGAUGCAAAUUCUGGUGACGUCCCUAACGAGAGAUGCAGUUAGAGGUUUUUCAGUCUUUACGUUUUGUGGAGUUGGAGGACAACACUCCAUUGUUUGUAUCGAUUACUGACGGUGUCCUUUUGAUUUCGGGUUGAUACCUUGGACAUUCGGAGGGAAUGAUGAUACAAUGUCAUCUGUACCAUACUUUUGUGUUGGUGUUCCUUAUUUUCUUUACCUUAUGUUUUUGCGAAAUGUAGUGAUUGCCAUGUCAAAUCAAAUCAGCCUUAUAAAUGCAUUUCUUACAACGCCGCAAGCAAAACUGACUGAAAGCCUACAAUACUCUAAAGCUCAGAUUUCUACUAUAUUUUACUAUAUAUGUUUGCUAUCGAGAUUAUAUAGUCUUUAUUUUCUUUUAACAUUCAUAAGUAUGAGUCCUAACAACUGGAAUGUGGAUGAUCGUAAUAAUACCAGUAAUAAUAUUGAUUAUGAUCAUAAACAGGGCAAUAUUAUUUUAUCCGAAUGGUUUCAGGGGGACAUUCUGUACUUUGCUUUUCUCUGCAUUUGUCAUUCAUUUUUUUUCAGUUUGUUAAUAAAAUACCUUUUCCCCACCAUCUUCCUAAUACCAAGGUUACGCCUCUUAUACACAAAGAAAAUAUUUGCCAAAUUGCUACAAAGCAAACAUUUGGUGGCUCAGCUCACCUACAUAUUAUACAUUCAGUUAACAAAGAAAACGACAUUAUGCCUCCCACGGGGAAGAAAGAUAGUGAUGAUAAAUAGACAAAGACUAAAUUUAAAGAGGGAAGAAGGAAACGUAGGAAAUGCUUGACAAUUGUCCUUGAGCACAGGGAGCUCCAACCUAGAUGAGAGGGUUGAACAUACAUAUGGAUGCUUGAGUAAAGAAUGCAUGGUCACAUAAAAUGCAUUUUUAUUUUCUGUGUUUAAUAGCAUUGUUUUAUUUAAGCCACUAGACACUGUAUGUUCAAAUCUUGUAUUAAAAAAAAGUGUUCUCACCAAA